This 482-nucleotide ribosomal RNA is filed under the name uncultured bacterium. Its description in RNAcentral is "partial 16S ribosomal RNA". It matches the Rfam family "Bacterial small subunit ribosomal RNA", at positions 28 to 507 of the family's 1533-position model. The record is from RNAcentral.
GACGAACGCUGGCGGCGUGCUUAACACAUGCAAGUCGAACGAUGAAGAAGAGACACGCGAACUUCGGUUCAAAUUUCACUUCGGAUUAGUGGCAGACGGGUGAGUAACGCGUGAGCAACCUACCUCUUACAAAGGGAUAGCCUCGGGAAACCGUGAUUAAUACCAUAUGACACAUUCAUAAGGCAUCUUAAGAAUGUUAAAGCUACGGCGGUAAGAGAUGGGCUCGCGUCCCAUUAGCUAGUUGGUGAGGUAACGGCCCACCAAGGCGACGAUGGGUAACCGGCCUGAGAGGGUGAACGGUCACAUUGGAACUGGGACACGGUCCAAACUCCUACGGGAGGCAGCAGUGGGGAAUAUUGCACAAUGGAGGGAACUCUGAUGCAGCGACGCCGCGUGAGCGAUGAAGGAAUUCGUUUCGUAAAGCUCUGUUCUAUGGGAAGAAAAGGACUGUACCAUAGGAGAAAGCCCCGGCUAAAUACGUG